Molecule: non-coding RNA, 2354 nt
Organism: Triticum urartu
Lineage: Eukaryota; Viridiplantae; Streptophyta; Magnoliopsida; Poales; Poaceae
Source: RefSeq, a predicted model, not a curated record
GCUCAGAUCGACCCUUCCCCCCGUCGCACCCUUCCUCCCUCGUCCCCAUCUCCUCGCCGCCGCCGCCCACCCUUCCUCCCUCGUCCCCAUCUCCCGAUUCCUCCUCCGCCGCCCCUCCCUUCCACCACCCUAGGCACUCCACCGCCGGGAGGCAACCCUUCCUCCUCACCCACGGCGCCGACCUCGCCGCCCCCACCCGUCAUGGUCGUCGUCCUAGGGUUCCGCCGCCCGCACCUAGCCCCCGACCUCUCCACCCAGACGGCCUUGACCAGAUCUACGGCCUAGCCCUAUCAAGCCGCAACCGUUCGCCGCUGCGGAUCCCGCGAGCCCCGUCCUCUUCUACCCCGUUCCGUGGCUUGGAGCUGCGACUGGACGGAGCUGCAUCUGGCGCCUACGGCAACGACCACGAUGACGGGAUUUCCCGGCCGGCCUCGAAGUGCCCAACCUCAAGAAGCGCGGCGGCGGCACGCGCAGCUGGAUCCGCCAUGAUGCGCUGUGCAGACGCUCGAGGUCGACAAGGCCACCAUGAUGCGCCGCUGCGAGCUCCCUGCCCGCGACCUCCGCCUCCUCGACCCGCUCUUCGUCUACCCCUCCACCGUCCUCGGCCGUGAGCGCACCAUCGUUGUCAACCUUGAGCAGAUCCGCUCGUCAUCACCGCCGACGAGGUGCUCCUCCUCAACUCCCUCGACAGCUACAUCUUCCAGUACGCCGCCGAGCUGCAGCGCCGCCUCCUCCAGCGCGCCGAGGGCGACGAGCUCCCCUUCGAGUUUCACGCCCUUGAGCUCGCCCUCGAGGCCGCCUGCUCCUUCCUCAACGCCCAGCUACAUCUCUAGGUACAAGAACCGGUUCCAUAACUUCAUCAAGCACCUGCGUGAAAUCGGUGAUGAGGUGGUAUAUUUUUCUGCUUUCAUUGUUGAGUACUACCGGAUACUGAUGGUGGUUGGUUUGACACAACUACAGGACAGUGGAUUAGUAGCAUGCAUGUGUGACUUAGUUUCUGGUGUGUUUCGCCGGAUCCCAGCGCGCUAACCGCCGCCUCCUGCGCCCGCGCAUAGCCUCACGCUCGCCGUUCGCGCUCCCUGCUGCUGUCGCUGAAGCUCUGUUGCUACCCCUCUGUUGCUUCCAACUGCCGCUGCUGCUCUCUGCUGCUGCGUAUUGCUCCUGCUCUACGGUGCAGCUGCUCUUACUGCUGCCGCUGCAUAGCUGCUUUAUAUACUACUCCGUAGCUAGCUAGUCAUACUAUUAUUUGAGAUGAUUCUUUGUCUAAGUAAUUAAAAUAUUUGUGAUUGAUUGUUGCCAUGAGGUGUCUAGCUUACUGUUAGAAGAUGAUAGAGGAUUGUAGCUUACUGGUUAAUGUCCCAAAACAAGGUGUAAUAAGGAACAAAUCCUUUAGGGGCAUAUCUGCUACUCUAUAUGCUGUCAUUUGUCUUUGUUUCAGUUUGUUGGAUCUGAUAAUAUGUCUAGGUGAAUACUAUAUUUAGAUCGUUUGCUCAACAAAAACACAAAUAGAGGCAAAAGUGAAAACUUUUAAACCUUUUCCAGGCAAGGAAAAAUGAACCGCUAGCACAAAUAUCUUCUCAGGUUGGAAUAAAGCUCAGCACAAAUAAAACAAGCACCAAGACGGCUAAAUUUUGCAAUCCAAAUAUUCUGUCUCUAGUCCAGAAUAUUACUCCCCCUCACCCCUCAUAUUUUUUUCCGAAGUGUUUAUUCUUCAUUAUCAUAGGGACUUGUAUCUACUUAAGAUUACAUUGAAACAUUCUGGUUAUGAAUACACUGCAUAGAAGCCAUGUAAUUUUGUGGUGCUUUCUCUAGUUCGUCCUUCACCUGGGAGGCCACUUGAAGGAUUAUAACAACAUGACAUAUCAAAGCUUUCUUGUCAAAUAAGAACUCAACUCACUGGAUGCAGGGAAGGAGAUGGAGGGUGACACACAGCCAUGGAGAGGAGCAGCAUCAGCUCAAGGUCCUUUCUCCUCCAUGCCACCUCUGCCCCUCUCUCGGUUUGAUUUGCUAUGUUGGGUUCCAAGAUUAUAAAUAAUUUUUGUUUCCAUCUUUAUCCAUGUGCUAUCAUUAACUCUGAGAAAAUGUUAUGUUUUUGCUGAUUAGUGGCAGUACAUCUUUGCUUUACUAUUCCUAGCAGCUGCAGUUCAUCUACCAUAAACAUGUUGUGUACAUUCUGAACCCCCAAACAUGACACAAGUGAUAUGUAUAUGCAGCAGGGAAUCGUCAACUUGUACAAUUUGUUGACUGGAAUGUAACUUGUACAGUUUUUACUUGAAUAUGUUCAGUUAUGAAGUCGUGUAGUUGUUUUUCUCAUCAGUUCUAAACUGCAGUACAUUACUGAAUUGUUGAUGAUG